GAUAUAACAUUUAGUUGAAUAGUAUGGUAACCUUUCUUUUGAAAUUUCUGUUGGUGACCAAGCUAUGUUUAGUUCAAAGUUAUGUUAAACUUUGAUUUCCUCAAAUCAAACCCAUUUGGUGUCUUUGUUAAGAAUUAGUCUUGGUAACAAGAAAACAUUUCUUUAUUUUCUAGCCUAUCUUGUCAUGUGACUUUUUCUGAACUCCUGAUUGGUUUAUUUGUAUCUCAGAGUACUGUUGGGCUACCCCAGGUGGUCCAUCUCUAUUUUGAACAGUUAUAAGAAAAUAUUUCUUAACAUUUCUUGUUUUUCUAGCGUCUCUGGUCAUGUGACUUUUUCUGAACCCCUGAUUGGUUGAUCUGUAUCCCAGAGUACAGUUGGGCUACCCCAUCUCCAUUUUGAACAGAGUUACAGUUGCAGCAGUUCAGUUCACUACUCUUUGUAUCAGUUGAUAACUCAUGCCAGUUUUACAGUCAAAAGUAAGGUAAAAGGGACCAUAAUCAUGUGAGGCACUGGUGACUGGGUUCAAUUUGCUAAAAAUCUAUGCAGCAGAAACAGCUGGGAACCAGAUAUGAAGGAUAAGGUGUCUGGAGGUUUUGACCAUACCAAAUGUCAAGAAUGAAAAGUUCACUGCAAGGGUUUGCUCUAUUUUGGAAUGUGAUACUCUGUAACCAUAUGGAAUAGUUAUAUCUAAGUUUAUAAAUUAUGGCCUUUAGUAGUAGUUAGCAUAUUCCGCUACAAAACAGCUACACUGCCAUUUAAGUAAUGCAGUAAUAUUGCUGUAAAUGCUUCUUUGAGAAGCGUAAUGAAUUUGAGACUCUUCUUCUUGUUCGUAUAUCAAGAUAAAUAAUUGGCAAUCUGAAUGUAAAGGAAUUAUUGAUGUUUGUCUGGUACUGUCAUCGUAAAAGUAUUUCCAUUCAAAGACUGUUACUAUUGUGAUCAUACUUCAUAAGUCUUAUGCAAGAAUGUGGUAAUAAACAUUCCUAUACUAUA
Branchiostoma floridae (Florida lancelet) is the source of this 990-nucleotide long non-coding RNA. RefSeq lists it as uncharacterized. The record is from RefSeq and is a predicted model, not a curated record. The transcript has 2 exons. Lineage: Eukaryota; Metazoa; Chordata; Leptocardii; Amphioxiformes; Branchiostomatidae.